CAGCUGCAAAACAAAGGGAGCAUGCAUGGCAAAACAUAGCCGACAGAGUCAAUGCGUGAGUGUUAAUAUAAACAUUGAUCUAGGGAUUUCCACCCAUUUAACACGUUAUUUUAUCAUAUGUUAUUUUAUUUGUUAUUUCAUACAUUUUAUUUUGUGAUGUGAUGUGAGCGCAGGUGCAACCCAACAGGCCCCAAACGUUCCUGGCAGCAAGUAAAAAUGAAAUAUAAAAAUAUAGUCCAAACAGGUGAGGUGUAAUUGUAUUAUGAGCCAUAGUGCUUGGUCUGUUUGUCCUAUGUAAAUCAAUUGCAGUUAGAGGCUACAUUAAUUUUCUUUCUGUAAUUAUUGAAAUUAUUGAAAUUAUCUGAGCACAUUACAAGUACAUAUUUGCUUACUCUGUAUGCUCAAAUGUGACCCCGUUAUAGCCAACAGAAAAAAAGCGGAGGCCCGAAAAACAGGUGGGGGUCCUCCACCACUCACAGAGGCUGAGCAGUUGGCCCUCAGCCAAAACAGUGGGCGCCCUGUGGCCGAAGGCAUCUCUGCGGGGACAUCCUCUGAGUCAAUAACCCCGCAAGACACAAGUGCCUAAAUAGGGGGUAAAUUCAAAAUAAUACAUGAUGUGCAUACAUCCUUUCUUCAUAGUCACCUUUGCAGUGCGACACAUUCAUUUGAUAAACUCUUUACCAUAAUGGAUUAUUUUGUAGUGAAGUUAUUUUCCUACUGAUUUUGCCUUCCCUCAGUCUUGGUUGUCUUUGAGAGCAUAAUGACAAUGAAGUGUAAGGUGAUUGGUAUGUUUGUUAAUUGCCAUUUGGUCCCUUGUAAGUUAUAAGUGACCUGUGUAAACCUCAUAUUCUAUCAGUUGAUGGUGGUGGUGUACUGCAUCUGGUGCAGCCUCCUGUUGAGCCAGACCAACAUGCAGUUGUGAGUAAUACUCCACAGAUUAUAUGAGUUUACAGUAGAACAGCAAUGUUGUUAACUUCUUUACUACAGGAAAAUAAUGAAGAAACAUUGACAGCUGUUACAGAGGAGGAAGCAACAGAGACACUUUAUGAGGUUUACAUCUUUUAAUACUUUGUGUACAGGAAACACAGGCGACCAAUAAAGCCAGUUGAAC
Molecule: long non-coding RNA, 1111 nt
Organism: Astatotilapia calliptera (eastern happy)
Lineage: Eukaryota; Metazoa; Chordata; Actinopteri; Cichliformes; Cichlidae
Source: Ensembl